UUUCCUGCCCUCGAGGAGCUCACAGUCUAGUAUGUCUCAUCCCCUACUAGACUGAAGCUCCUUGAGGACAGGGAUGGUCAUACUCACCUC
Molecule: microRNA precursor, 90 nt
Organism: Cercocebus atys (sooty mangabey)
Lineage: Eukaryota; Metazoa; Chordata; Mammalia; Primates; Cercopithecidae
Source: Ensembl